AUUGAACGCUGGCGGCAGGCCUAACACAUGCAAGUCGAACGAGUGGCGGACGGGUGAGUAAUGUCUGGGAAACUGCCCGAUGGAGGGGGAUAACUACUGGAAACGGUAGCUAAUACCGCAUACCAUCGGAUGUGCCCAGAUGGGAUUAGCUAGUAGGGGGGGUAACGGCUCACCUAGGCGACGAUCCCUAGCUGGUCUGAGAGGAUGACCAGGCACACUGGAAAUGAGAACCGGUCAAGACUCCCACGGGAGGCAGCAGUGGGGAAGAUUGCACAAUGGGCGCAAGAACGAUGCAGCCAUGCCGCGUGUAUGAAGAAGGCCCUCGGGUUGUAAAGUACUUUCAGCGGGGAGGCGUUACUCGCAGAAGAAGCACCGGCUAACUCCGUGCCAGCAGCCGCGGUAAUUC
RNAcentral lists this ribosomal RNA (406 nucleotides) under uncultured bacterium. RNAcentral describes it as "partial 16S ribosomal RNA". It matches the Rfam family "Bacterial small subunit ribosomal RNA", at positions 29 to 526 of the family's 1533-position model. The record is from RNAcentral.